GUGGGGAAUCUUGGACAAUGGGCGAAAGCCUGAUCCAGCCAUGCCGCGUGGAUGAUGAAGGCCCUAGGGUUGUAAAAUCCUUUCGUUGGGGACGAUAAUGACGGUACCCAAAGAAGAAGCUCCGGCUAACUUCGUGCCAGCAGCCGCGGUAAUACGAAGGGGGCUAGCGUUGUUCGGAUUUACUGGGCGUAAAGCGCGUGUAGGCGGGCUGGAAAGUUGGGGGUGAAAUCCCGAGGCUCAACCUCGGAACUGCCUCCAAAACUUCCAGCCUGGACUCAAGCAGAGGCAAGUGGAAUUGCGAGUGUAGAGGUGAAAUUCGUAGAUAUUCGCAGGAACACCAGUGGCGAAGGCGACUUGCUGGGCUUGUAGCGACGCUGAGACGCGAAAGCGUGGGGAGCAA
Molecule: ribosomal RNA, 400 nt
Filed under: uncultured bacterium
Lineage: Bacteria
Description: bacterial SSU rRNA
Rfam family: Bacterial small subunit ribosomal RNA
Source: RNAcentral